CCUGGCUCAGAUUGAACGCUGGCGGCAGGCUUAACACAUGCAAGUCGAGCGGAGAGAGGUAGCUUGCUACUGAUCUUAGCGGCGGACGGGUGAGUAAUACUUAGGAAUCUGGCUAUUAGUGGGGGACAACAUUUCGAAAGGGAUGCUAAUACCGCAUACGUCCUACGGGAGAAAGCAGGGGAUCUUCGGACCUUGCGCUAAUAGAUGAGCCUAAGUCGGAUUAGCUAGUUGGUGGGGUAAAGGCCUACCAAGGCGACGAUCUGUAGCGGGUCUGAGAGGAUGAUCCGCCACACUGGGACUGAGACACGGCCCAGACUCCUACGGGAGGCAGCAGAAGGG
RNAcentral lists this ribosomal RNA (339 nucleotides) under uncultured Acinetobacter sp. RNAcentral describes it as "bacterial SSU rRNA". It matches the Rfam family "Bacterial small subunit ribosomal RNA", at positions 18 to 359 of the family's 1533-position model. The record is from RNAcentral. Lineage: Bacteria; Pseudomonadati; Pseudomonadota; Gammaproteobacteria; Moraxellales; Moraxellaceae.